Molecule: ribosomal RNA, 408 nt
Filed under: uncultured bacterium
Lineage: Bacteria
Description: partial 16S ribosomal RNA
Rfam family: Bacterial small subunit ribosomal RNA
Source: RNAcentral
GACGAACGCUGGCGGCGUGCUUAACACAUGCAAGUCGAACGAAGUGGCGAACGGGUGAGUAACGCGUAAUCAACCUGCCCUUCAGAGGGGGACAACAGUUGGAAACGACUGCUAAUACCGCAUACUGAAGGAGGGGCGUGCGUCUGAUUAGCUAGUUGGAGGGGUAACGGCCCACCAAGGCGAUGAUCAGUAGCCUGUCUGGGAAGAGGAACGGCCAAAUUGGGAAUGAGGCACGGCCCAGGCUGCGACGGGAGGCAGCAGUGGGGAAACUUCCGCAAUGGACGAAAGUCUGGCGGAGCAACGCCGCGUGGUGGGUGACAGCCUUCGGGUUGGAAAGCUCUGUUAAUCGGGGCGCGGUACCGAAAUAGAAAGCCACGGCUAACUACGUGCCAGCAGCCGCGGUAAUAC